Myotis brandtii (Brandt's bat) is the source of this 74-nucleotide non-coding RNA. The record is from Rfam. NCBI's taxonomy places the organism in Eukaryota, Metazoa, Chordata, Mammalia, Chiroptera, Vespertilionidae.
CUUGGAGGGGGAGGGUCCCUCAGCCCAGAUUGUGAGAAGGCGCAGGCCAGGCUGAGGGACCCCACUAGUGCACA